Long non-coding RNA from Cyprinus carpio (common carp), 4008 nucleotides. RefSeq lists it as uncharacterized. The record is from RefSeq and is a predicted model, not a curated record. The transcript has 4 exons. NCBI's taxonomy places the organism in Eukaryota, Metazoa, Chordata, Actinopteri, Cypriniformes, Cyprinidae.
UCAGCUGUUGCUCUUGGCGUCACUGCGCUGCCAGCUGAUCGGGAGGAGAAGCCGGUAUGAGGGGAGUUGAAGCGGAGACUGAGGACGCAGCAAUACGUGGGCUAGAUUGUGAAAUUUAGGACGCAAGACUAAUGGUGUCGUUUUCAAGUUGAGUAAUUAUAUUGUUAAUGAUUUCUGUAACACUGUUGAGUUGUCUUGAGUAGGUUAGGAUUAGAUAUUUUAGCUGAGUCGCGCUUUAGCUCUUUGAUGUCAGGAGUGAUUUGAGGUUAAGGUGUGGCUUUCAGCUAAAGGACGAAUUACUUAAAUUGUAGCAGAUCUUAUAAUUAAUUCUUCGACAUUUAGCCUUUAUUUACAGUUAGAGUGAGACAUUAAAGUGGGCGAGAGAGACUGGAAAUGGGAUUGGGACAUGACCCAGGUCAGAAUCGAACUUGAGUUCCCAAUGAGCUUUUAAAUGUCGUAUGUGCGCUGCCUUGUGCGCCAGAACUGAAUCAUGAGGGUUUUAAUGGUUUUCGCGAGGAUUUGAUACGCGUGUCACCGGGGAGAUAUUUAAAUCCAGGAAGCGUUCGGUUACACAACGGAGGCCAAUCGUUCGAUGACCGUUGCAACAUUCGUUCUAACUUUUCGGAAGUGUGUGAACCCACUUUAGAACAAAUGGAAUCUGUUACGUUCCAUUGAAAGAGAUCGCGAGAGCGCUCGGUUCAGAGUUGAGCCUCACAGGGCGUCAGCCGUACGUUAGUAGACAGUCUAUAGGCAGAAUGAGGAAAAAAAAAAAAUAACCCAUUGCGAAAAUAAAGGAUGUUACGCCAGAUUUAUGUGAUGUCUGGGAUUCGAACCGCUUUCCAGCGUGACAUACGAAUCAAUCGACGAGAGAAAUCGAGAAUUCUACCAGUGAAGUAAGUUACGUUAGGUGUUGGACGUUCCUCAUUCAGAAGUUUUCGCUUAAAGGUGUUUGUCGAAAAACUCAGUAUUGCACAGAUAUCGAUUUGACGCUAUUUGUUAAAUUCGUCAGACUGAAGCGCUGAGAAUUAACACUACUGUAGCCUAUUAACACGGACAACUGAUAUAACAGUGGGCGUUACACUCGUUACAUUAAACUCAUAUCGCCUGACGUAUUUCCUUCGUGAUUUUUCUUUAGGCUACUUUGCUUGUUUUUAUUUGUAUUAUAUUUAUGCUAAUUUUCAGCGUUAUUAAAAGAGGGCAAGGAUAAUUAAAGGGAUAAUUAACCUCAAAUUAAUAUUUAGUCAUCAUUUACUCACCUUCAUGAUGUUUUAAACCUUUCAUUGAAUAUAGAAAGAAUGCGAAGUGAAUGGUGACUGACCCUCAUAUUCAGCCUCACAUUUUCUCUAUUUAUUUAUUUUUUUAUACAGAGGAUAGAAAGUCAAACAGGUUUGUAAAAAUAUGGGUGUUAUUAAAGGACAGAUUUUUCACUUUUUGAGUGAACUGUCACUUUAAGAUAAACCCUAAAACACGGAGUUUUUAGUCUACGUCUGUUUAAAAGAUGAAUAGCAGGGGCAACAGGACAUUCUGCUGUAGCCUGCGAGAGAAGGCGAAGAUCAAAAUAUUAGUUUUGGUAGCUGGAUAGUAGUGUAUAAAACAUGGUUUUGGCCAUGACACAACGCUUAUACAUCGUCUCUGAUUCCUGUGAGGCGAGAGCAUGGCAAAUUCCUCAAGACCCCACCCUGUACGCCUAACAUCUGGAGUGGAGACCUCCGUUUCAACAGUACGUCGUUAUGGAUUUCUUCUUACAUCUGAAUGACGUCCGACUGCUGAAGAUGAAGCUCGGCUGUGACAGUGAUUUGCCUGUUUGGCAGGUGGCUGUAGUUGUCUUGAGUGUGGGAGGGGAGGAUCUCAGAAGAAGGUCUGCUGUUGUCUCAAGGACAGCGGAGCUUCCCGUCUGUGCAGCCCCACAGUCCUGUGGGACCAAAUGCUGGACGCACAGGCGGGUUUGUGCUACAAGGUUUCAGGAAGUGAGCCUGCAGAGCUUCUGUCCACAUUUACAUCUCCAGUAACGUUACGCAGUUAGAUUCCUAGCAAUACCUUUUCGCUGCCGUAGCGAGGCGAUGAUUCGGCACUGUCAGAGACAGACUUCUAGAGUGAGUUUGCUUCUGCUGUCUACCCUGAGGGACCUGCAUAAUCUCCCUUUGAUUAAAUGGGCUGCAGGCUUUGUGCUCCUCACCGCCAUGUAAGUGACCCAGUUUGGGGUUUUGUGCUAUUGUUCUUCAUUGAAUUUCUGUCCUCGACAUACAAGGCGGCACACACAUACGAUGCCCCAAACUCUAAAUAGCGAGCUCAUUCAUUCUAUACAGAGAAAAACGGGUUUGUUUAAAACCUGUUGACUUCACUUGUGGACUAUUUCUCUGUCUCUUUCUCUCUUUUAAGGCAGCCAAGCUAGUUCACCUCAGCAGUACAGAGUGUGAGCUGGCCCAGCUCUGUGGAAGGGUGGAGUCAGUCCAGCACGGCGUAUCUCAGAAAGCAUGGAGGGCCUCUGCAGACAGAAUGGAAUUUAUACCAUAUGUACCAGGCAUCCCAAGAAUGCAUGGCACAGAGACUUGACCAACGGAAAGAACCGCAGAAAGUGCAAUGGAAAGGAUCCUGCCACGCCCUAUUCCCACGUUUUCUUCGGAAUAUCAGGGACAGACUCUGGGAAGCCCACUGGCUGACCUGCAGCAGUUCUUCACUGGCAAGCUUUAUGUCCUUGUGUACCAGCUAAAGCUGCCAGCUGAAGAACUGUUGUGGUUGGCUCUUUCCUGGCACGUCAGCACAGAGAUGGUGAUGCAGAAGUAACAGCAUCAUUCCAGACAGUCGAUGAGGCCGUCUCAGCCAAUCCUGGAUCAGACGGAUCCCAUUUUUUUCUCUCCCUCCAGCAGCCAGCUCACGUGACCUGCCUGAGCUUGGCUGUUCGUUAUUCUCAGGCAUAAACAAAGGCUACCAUACGGGGUCCAUGCUGACUCAGCCACAUUCCUGGCCCGGUGAGGGUCCCUUGCCCUUAUUUGGGUGUGGAGCAGGACAGGAGUGGCAUUCUGUGCUCUCAACCAAGCUGACAGAGGUGGCCAUCUUGCUCUUCUGAUGUAGCAAAUGGUGGAUCUGAUGUUUAGUGGGCGGAAACAUCAAGUACUACUGAAAGUAGUGUUCUUAUAGAUGUUUCCAUGCAUUCUGGAGACAUGCCCAGGCAUUGACGUGUUUGUGUGUUGAAAGUUGCAGAGAUCCUCCAGGGAACAAAUGAUGAAAGACUGCAGAGCGUAUGUAACUUCCUCUUUCCCUUUCAAGGCCAUUCUAUGGCGUAAAUAUGAUUUUUUUUUAUUUUUUUUUGUGUGUGUUUGUUUGUUUAUGUGCUUGUGUAUGUACGCAUCUAACCUUUGUCACACACACAGAUCUGCCUAUAUACACAUCCUCAUCACGUCAACUGACCUUACACAAGCCGUAAAUUCCUCAAGGCCGACUUCUUCAGCACAGAAAACAGGAUAUGAAAAUGCAUCCCUCUAAAUCCUCCCAGCCAGAUGAAAACUGAGAAUAUUCUAGGUAUUUAGCAGACCCAGAUGCCGCGUGCUGGAAAUGUGCUCUCGGUUCCUCUCCCUCCAAACGUCUUCAAGAUCAUGCCACUCUCUCACCAAGUUCUCAUACGUCACACAGUUUUGCACAUGUAACUGUACCUUCUCUCAAGGGCUUCUUCAGGUCAUGGGCGACGAUCGCCUUCGUGAUCCGCUCUAGUCUAAUGUCAAUCUGUCCACAAGUGCAUUAAAAGAUUGUUGAGGGUCGUCGUCUCAGCUGCUCUUAAAGAAACGGCACACAUAAGAAGCUCGGCCUGUCUGUGUUGCAGGUGUACUUAGGCCGUGGAUAGUACAGUGUGCUACUGUCAGAACCUCCUGCUUUAACCCUCUUUAAAGUCAGACGGUAAGGGUUAACAGCUACAUUUAGAUUAGAUUACUAUGAAGGUCCUAAUGAACAUACUUUCAGUAUGGACAAAGUGUGACUGAAUGAUGUGAUUCUCAAAUAAAGAAGUAAAAUGGC